AUGUAGAGAUAACUUUCUAGGCUGUUAGCUUAUUAUUCUUUCUAUUGCCGUUCUAUUUCAGAUGCUAAAGAGAAGCACGGGCUGGGUCGGGGCUGAGUUUUGCACAGUUUAGGGUCCCUCAAUUGAUCUAACUUUUGUAUUGGAAAAAUAUUAUUCAUUUAGCUUUUGGUAAUUUGGAGGAAGUGACUUUCCAAUUAAUCUUUUUUCAAUUAUCUAUUGGUCAUACGGCACUAAUUUGAUUUACAAAUUCAAAAGGACUUUAGGAACUUGGAGCCCCAAAAACAAAAUAUAAUGGAAUUGUUAGAAGGGUGAAUCACUAUAGGAUAUAAACAGCAUGACAUCUAUUCUAAAUAUUUUCUAAUGUUUGUCUGAGUUCCGUCAUGAGCCAAGGAAAGUUAUUGGCCCAGAAUCCAAAACUUGAGGAUAGAACCUCUUCCGAAAGUCGAUCAGCAACUUAGCUGGCUUCCCCGUACUACAAAAAAAAAAAGUCUAUCCCCAUACUUUUUAGAGCAUGUGCCAACUUAUAAACAUCGAUAAUUUUGGCAC
Molecule: long non-coding RNA, 546 nt
Filed under: Phoenix dactylifera (date palm)
Lineage: Eukaryota; Viridiplantae; Streptophyta; Magnoliopsida; Arecales; Arecaceae
Description: long non-coding RNA (PDAC_LNC009736)
Source: RNAcentral